UGCCUCUCGAGCUUUGAAAGCUGAACAAGCUGAGCCACGACUAUUGCUACCAAAAACCAGAACAACAACAACUUAAGCAGUAUAAAAAUUAGAUGUCAUUUCCUUUUUAUUUAUAAAGUCAGCAGAGCAGUGGCCUUUUCAAGGGCUCUCAGAAUCUUGUCAAGUGGGCUGUGUGACCACUUCAAAAGGGGUUUUUAUCUACUUAAUGUUAGCUUCCUUUGGGAUUUUUCUGCACUCAUCUUUAUGAUCUUCGUCGGCUUAUCUUUAUUUAUUUUUUAUUUACAAUCAAGGGUGUUUAUAUCAGAUUUCGGACAUGGCUAUCUUUUACUAUCUUUUGGUUGGUUUCCAGAUGAGGGGCUUUUCUCUUUAGCAUUAGCCAUUAGAUGACCACAAUUAGGCCCACGG
Molecule: unclassified non-coding RNA, 405 nt
Filed under: Hevea brasiliensis (rubber tree)
Lineage: Eukaryota; Viridiplantae; Streptophyta; Magnoliopsida; Malpighiales; Euphorbiaceae
Source: RNAcentral